GGGUUGUGAGGUUAAGCGACUAAGCGUACACGGUGGAUGCCCUGGCAGUCAGAGGCGAUGAAGGGCGUGCUAAUCUGCGAUAAGCGCCGGUAAGGUGAUAUGAACCGUUAUAACCGGCGAUACCCGAAUGGGGAAACCCAGUGUGAUUCGUCACACUAUCAUUAACUGAAUCCAUAGGUUAAUGAGGCGAACCGGGGGAACUGAAACAUCUAAGUACCCCGAGGAAAUCAGAGAUAGUAGCGGCGCGAAGGAAGAGCCUGAAUCAUGUGUGUUAGUGGACCUGGGUGCGCUACGACAGCCCCGUACACGGGCGUGACUCUGAGUGACACGUGGUAUCCUCUGAUAACCCCUCCUAAAUCCGAGACCAUAGUGAACAGGUGAGGGAAAGGCCGUCCUGAAACCGUGUACGUAGGUGGGAACAGGUUUACCUGUGUGUGCGUACCUUUUGUAUAGGGUCAGCGACUUAUAUUCUGUAGCAAGGUUAACCGUAUAGGGGAGCCGUAGGGAAACCGAGUCUUAACCGGGCGUUAAGUUGCAGGGUAUAGACCCGAAACCCGGUGAUCUAGCCAUGGGCAGGUUGAAGGUUGGGUAACACUAACUGGAGGACCGAACCGACUAAUGUUGAAAAAUUAGCGGAUGACCUGUGGCUGGGGGUGAAAGGCCAAUCAAACCGGGAGAUAGCUGGUUCUCCCCGAAAGCUAUUUAGGUAGCGCCUCGUGAAUUCAUCUCCGGGGGUAGAGCACUGUUUCGGCUAGGGGGCCAUCCCGGCUUACCAACCCGAUGCAAACUGCGAAUACCGGAGAAUGUUAUCACGGGAGACACACGGCGGGUGCUAACGUCCGUCGUGAAGAGGGAAACAACCCAGACCGCCAGCUAAGGUCCCAAAGUCAUGGUUAAGUGGGAAACGAUGUGGGAAGGCCCAGACAGCCAGGAUGUUGGCUUAGAAGCAGCCAUCAUUUAAAGAAAGCGUAAUAGCUCACUGGUCGAGUCGGCCUGCGCGGAAGAUGUAACGGGGCUAAACCAUGCACCGAAGCUGCGGCAGCGAACGUAUCACCCAAGACAACUUUACGGAGUUGACGAUUGACGGAGCGAAGCGACGUCAAAGCGUUCAUUAAAGUCGAGUUGGCUUAGGGAUACGUUCGUUGGGUAGGGGAGCGUUCUGUAAGCCUGUGAAGGUGUGUCGUGAGGCAUGCUGGAGGUAUCAGAAGUGCGAAUGCUGACAUAAGUAACGAUAAAGCGGGUGAAAAGCCCGCUCGCCGGAAGACCAAGGGUUCCUGUCCAACGUUAAUCGGGGCAGGGUGAGUCGACCCCUAAGGCGAGGCCGAAAGGCGUAGUCGAUGGGAAACGGGUUAAUAUUCCCGUACUUGGUGUUACUGCGAAGGGGGGACGGAGAAGGCUAUGUUGGCCGGGCGACGGUUGUCCCGGUUUAAGCGUGUAGGUGUGUGUUCCAGGUAAAUCCGGUUCACUUUAACACUGAGGCGUGACGACGAGGCACUACGGUGCUGAAGCAACAAAUGCCCUGCUUCCAGGAAAAGCCUCUAAGCAUCAGGUAACAUCAAAUCGUACCCCAAACCGACACAGGUGGUCAGGUAGAGAAUACCAAGGCGCUUGAGAGAACUCGGGUGAAGGAACUAGGCAAAAUGGUGCCGUAACUUCGGGAGAAGGCACGCUGACACGUAGGUGAAGUGAUUUACUCAUGGAGCUGAAGUCAGUCGAAGAUACCAGCUGGCUGCAACUGUUUAUUAAAACACAGCACUGUGCAAACACGAAAGUGGACGUAUACGGUGUGACGCCUGCCCGGUGCCGGAAGGUUAAUUGAUGGGGUCAGCGCAAGCGAAGCUCCUGAUCGAAGCCCCGGUAAACGGCGGCCGUAACUAUAACGGUCCUAAGGUAGCGAAAUUCCUUGUCGGGUAAGUUCCGACCUGCACGAAUGGCGUAAUGAUGGCCAGGCUGUCUCCACCCGAGACUCAGUGAAAUUGAACUCGCUGUGAAGAUGCAGUGUACCCGCGGCAAGACGGAAAGACCCCGUGAACCUUUACUAUAGCUUGACACUGAACAUUGAGCCUUGAUGUGUAGGAUAGGUGGGAGGCUUUGAAGUGUGGACGCCAGUCUGCAUGGAGCCGACCUUGAAAUACCACCCUUUAAUGUUUGAUGUUCUAACGUGGACCCGUAAUCCGGGUUGCGGACAGUGUCUGGUGGGUAGUUUGACUGGGGCGGUCUCCUCCUAAAGAGUAACGGAGGAGCACGAAGGUUGGCUAAUCCUGGUCGGACAUCAGGAGGUUAGUGCAAUGGCAUAAGCCAGCUUGACUGCGAGCGUGACGGCGCGAGCAGGUGCGAAAGCAGGUCAUAGUGAUCCGGUGGUUCUGAAUGGAAGGCCAUCGCUCAACGGAUAAAAGGUACUCCGGGGAUAACAGGCUGAUACCGCCCAAGAGUUCAUAUCGACGGCGGUGUUUGGCACCUCGAUGUCGGCUCAUCACAUCCUGGGGCUGAAG
Molecule: ribosomal RNA, 2492 nt
Filed under: Salmonella enterica subsp. enterica serovar Typhimurium
Lineage: Bacteria; Pseudomonadati; Pseudomonadota; Gammaproteobacteria; Enterobacterales; Enterobacteriaceae
Description: bacterial LSU rRNA
Rfam family: Bacterial large subunit ribosomal RNA
Source: RNAcentral